GCCCCAAUCCGUCCAGUAGAGGUCGCUGUGGUCAUGAAUGGAAUUAUCAUUAGUGUACAGCAUUUCAUUCCGCCUACCAUAUGUGUACCUAUCAAUCAAGGCCGAUUUGUUUACGACUGGUUUAGUCUUGGUGCAAGCCAUACCAUUUGGCCGAUGUCAGCUACAGUAGCCAGUUGACGCCUUAUGAAUAUUCAGAUCAAUGACAUUAAUUGGACUACGUCACAUCCAUUUCAUCUGUACCAAACCAUCAAUAUACCCACUAUGUAAUGU
Molecule: long non-coding RNA, 270 nt
Organism: Lytechinus variegatus (green sea urchin)
Lineage: Eukaryota; Metazoa; Echinodermata; Echinoidea; Temnopleuroida; Toxopneustidae
Exons: 3
Source: RefSeq, a predicted model, not a curated record